RNAcentral lists this ribosomal RNA (240 nucleotides) under uncultured Actinomycetales bacterium. RNAcentral's name for it is "partial 16S ribosomal RNA". It matches the Rfam family "Bacterial small subunit ribosomal RNA", at positions 89 to 334 of the family's 1533-position model. The record is from RNAcentral. Lineage: Bacteria; Bacillati; Actinomycetota; Actinomycetes; Actinomycetales.
ACUCGAGUGGCGAACGGGUGAGUAACACGUGGGUGAUCUGCCCUGCACUUCGGGAUAAGCUUGGGAAACUGGGUCUAAUACCGGAUAGGAGCCAUCUUUAGUGUGGUGGUUGGAAAGUUUUUGGUGUAGGAUGAGCUCGCGGCCUAUCAGCUUGUUGGUGGGGUAAUGGCCUACCAAGGCGGCGACGGGUAGCCGGCCUGAGAGGGUGGACGGCCACAUUGGGACUGAGAUACGGCCCAG